UUGCUUUGGCAGCAUAUACACUGAAAUUGAAUAGUACAGAGACUAUUAGCGUGGCCCUUGCAAAAGGAUGGAUUGAAAAUUUGUGAAACAUUCCAUGUUUUC
Small nuclear RNA from Nannospalax galili (Upper Galilee mountains blind mole rat), 102 nucleotides. Lineage: Eukaryota; Metazoa; Chordata; Mammalia; Rodentia; Spalacidae. The record is from Ensembl.